CUUUUUCCAAAGGCCAGUUUGAGAAUGAGGAGUCCUGCUGUGGCUGGGGGCUCCAGGGGGCCUCCAGAGGAGUGGGCAGGGUGGUAAGACCCUCUCUGGCCCAGCAGCUGCCUGGCUCUUCUCCAGGGGCUGGGACACUGGGCAGAACACUGGGAGCCUUGCCCACAGCCGCUCGGCCCUCCCUGAACAGAAGGGACAAGUGUGUGUUGGUGGGGACGGUGGGGUGGUCAGAUGUGGGACACAGGCCUCUCUGGGCUCUGGGAGUUGUGUCCUGGGAGACUUAAUAGGACCCAGGAGGGUCCAGAGAGCCUCAGAGCCCAGGGAAGGAGGCAGGGGCUGAGGUGGCUUCUUUACCUGAAGACCAUGGGCAGGUCCCGGAUGCAGGCCCCGUUGUGCUCUGGGAGUUGUUCCUUGGGAAGGGCCUGGGUGAGGCCCUGGGGAAGCCUGGGAGCUCCCUGGAAAAGGGAGAGGGAAAGAAGCCAAGCCUUGAACCCGAAGCUUCUCCACCUUGGGACCCAGGCAGGUCCUGGCUUGACUGCCUUGGCUUGGCAGAGCCACUGGUACUAUAGGAGCCUUGGCCUGCCUAGCCCAGCCGAGGUGGGGGUGAGGGCAGGGUGGAGGUGAGGAGGGUGCAGCCCUUCCCCAGCAAGUAGCAAAGCUCCCUGAGUGGUGAGGCCAGGUGCAGCGUGUGCGUGUGCGUGUGCGUGUGCGUGUGUAUGUGUGUGUCUGGGUUUGCACACGUGCCUGCGCAUGCCUCCAGCUUCACUCAUCUGUAAGAAAUUUCAAAGAAGUCCACAGUGUAGUGGUCUGAAAGCACAAGAGGGCAGAAGGUAAAUGAGGUGCCCAAGCAAAGGGGAUCCGUAAAGGCCGAGCCCCUUGCUUCUGUGUGUGCAGGUGUGAAUGAACCCUGUGAGGGUGGGAAGGGCUGAGGCAGGUCGCCUGUGUGAACCAUGAACCUCAGGCAACUGAGAACACAGCAGAGAAUGGACCUGUGGAUUGAGGCUGAGAGAUUCUUUUGAAAUACUUACUGCAGAUACUGAUCGCCUUCCCAGCCCAGUUCUUCAACAGGCCUUCCCAGUGUACCGAGGGCACUUGGGACAGAAUGGGUGA
RNAcentral lists this long non-coding RNA (1110 nucleotides) under Marmota monax (woodchuck). The record is from RNAcentral. Lineage: Eukaryota; Metazoa; Chordata; Mammalia; Rodentia; Sciuridae.